ACGGCUACCACAUCCAAGGAAGGCAGCAGGCGCGCAAAUUACCCAAUCCCGACACGGGGAGGUAGUGACAAUAAAUACUGAUACGGGGCUCUUUUGGGUCUCGUAAUUGGAAUGAGUACAAUCUAAAUCCCUUAACGAGGAACAAUUGGAGGGCAAGUCUGGUGCCAGCAGCCGCGGUAAUUCCAGCUCCAAUAGCGUAUAUUAAAGUUGUUGCAGUUAAAAAGCUCGUAGUUGAACCUUGGGUCUGGCUGGCCGGUCCGCCUCACCGCGAGUACUGGUCCGGCUGGACCUUUCCUUCUGGGGAACCUCAUGGCCUUCACUGGCUGUGGGGGGAACCAGGACUUUUACUGUGAAAAAAUUAGAGUGUUCAAAGCAGGCCUUUGCUCGAAUACAUUAGCAUGGAAUAAUAGAAUAGGACGUGCGGUUCUAUUUUGUUGGUUUCUAGGACCGCCGUAAUGAUUAAUAGGGAUAGUCGGGGGCGUCAGUAUUCAGCUGUCAGAGGUGAAAUUCUUGGAUUUGCUGAAGACUAACUACUGCGAAAGCAUUCGCCAAGGAUGUUUUCAUUAAUCAGGGAACGAAAGUUAGGGGAUCGAAGACGAUCAGAUACCGUCGUAGUCUUAACCAUAAACUAUGCCGACUAGGGAUCGGGCGGUGUUUCUAUAAUGACCCGCUCGGCACCUUACGAGAAAUCAAAGUUUUUGGGUUCUGGGGGGAGUAUGGUCGCAAGGCUGAAACUUAAAGAAAUUGAC
Molecule: ribosomal RNA, 749 nt
Filed under: uncultured fungus
Lineage: Eukaryota; Fungi
Description: SSU rRNA
Rfam family: Eukaryotic small subunit ribosomal RNA
Source: RNAcentral